UAUGCUGUAAGGUAAGCUUUGACCAAAGAAGCCAACAUGCAAUCGAAUAUCGUGCAUCGAAUUUCGAAUCUCGAAUUGGAGCUAGCCGUCGAAGGUGGGGCCGAUAAUUGGGGUGAAGUCGUAACAAGGUAGCCGUAUCGGAAGGUGCGGCUGGAUCACCUCCUUU
Molecule: non-coding RNA, 166 nt
Filed under: Desulfosporosinus sp. I2
Lineage: Bacteria; Bacillati; Bacillota; Clostridia; Eubacteriales; Desulfitobacteriaceae
Description: Bacterial small subunit ribosomal RNA
Rfam family: Bacterial small subunit ribosomal RNA
Source: Rfam by way of RNAcentral